GAUUCUGGCUCAGGAUGAACGCUGGCGGCGCGCCUAACACAUGCAAGUCGAACGGAGAUUAUUAUGAAGUACCUCGGGUGCGGAUGAUGAUCUUAGUGGCGAACGGGUGAGUAACACGUGAAGAACCUGCCUUUCAGAGGGGGAUAACACUUAGAAAUAGGUGCUAAUACCGCAUAAGACCACAAUGCCACAUGGCGAAGGGGUCAAAGGAGAAAUCCGCUGAGAGAUGGCUUCGCGCCCGAUUAGGCAGUUGGUGAGGUAACGGCCCACCAAACCUACGAUCGGUAGCCGGACUGAGAGGUCGAUCGGCCACAUUGGGACUGAGACACGGCCCAGACUCCUACGGGAGGCAGCAGGUGGGGGAUAUUGCACAAGUACGGGGGGAAACCCUGAUGCAGCGACGCCGCGUGAGGGAAGAAGGUUUUCGGAUUGUAAACCUCUGUCUUCGGGGACGAUAAUGGCGGUACCCGAGGAGGAAGCCACGGCUAACUACGUGCCAGCCGCAGC
RNAcentral lists this ribosomal RNA (507 nucleotides) under uncultured bacterium. RNAcentral describes it as "bacterial SSU rRNA". It matches the Rfam family "Bacterial small subunit ribosomal RNA", at positions 15 to 518 of the family's 1533-position model. The record is from RNAcentral.